This is a non-coding RNA of Caenorhabditis elegans, 199 nucleotides long. NCBI's taxonomy places the organism in Eukaryota, Metazoa, Nematoda, Chromadorea, Rhabditida, Rhabditidae. The record is from Ensembl.
GUUGUAGGACAGAAGGUGUCCAAAGAUGAGUUAUUGAGGCUCCGCCUGCGCUGUGUCACACUCUCGCGCGCCCGAGCACACGUUUCUUAGCGCUGAGGGGUGGAGCCGAAUCGGCUAAUGGCUCAAUUCGCACCCCGAGAGCAAUUGGUGCAUUGCCGCAAAGACAAGAACGGAUGUAUAGGAAGCUGUUUUUCGGGGC